This 407-nucleotide unclassified non-coding RNA is filed under the name Radix auricularia. RNAcentral's name for it is "sequence contains ITS2". The record is from RNAcentral. Lineage: Eukaryota; Metazoa; Mollusca; Gastropoda; Lymnaeidae.
GUCGCUUGCUCGUGCGACGCGCUCUGGUCCGUCGCGGCCAUAAAAUCCAGCGUUCACCGCCCUCAUCGCUUUGCUCGGCGAUGUCGUGUGUGUGUUGUGCCUGGUGGCCCCGUGGACUUAAGCACAAGCCGCGCCGUUGUCCGUGUUCGUCUCGGGACGUCCGCGACGCCGCCUUGCUCUCGGCGGCGGCCAAAUUUCCAUCUGCGUCACCGCUAAGCGGGACCCGGCUCGCUCUCGCUAACGGGCCCGCUUAUAUCAAGCUCAAGGGUGAUUGCGGAGGGGGAAAAAAAAGCUUACGCGGACGAUCGCUUGACAACAAAUCGGCGCCCGUACGAAUUGAAGUGAAAAAAAUAUUCUUUUUUUUUUUUUCAUUUUCAUAUCUCCGACCUCAGAUCGGACGAGAUUAC